UACGUAGGGAGCAAGCGUUAUCCGGAUUUACUGGGUGUAAAGGGAGCGUAGACGGCGGUGCAAGCCAGAUGUGAAAGCCCGGGGCUCAACCCCGGGACUGCAUUUGGAACUGUGCUGCUAGAGUGUCGGAGAGGUAAGUGGAAUUCCUAGUGUAGCGGUGAAAUGCGUAGAUAUUAGGAGGAACACCAGUGGCGAAGGCGACUUUCUGGACGAUGACUGACGCUGAGGCUCGAAAGCGUGGGGAGCAAACAGG
RNAcentral lists this ribosomal RNA (253 nucleotides) under uncultured Blautia sp. Its description in RNAcentral is "partial 16S ribosomal RNA". It matches the Rfam family "Bacterial small subunit ribosomal RNA", at positions 524 to 776 of the family's 1533-position model. Lineage: Bacteria; Bacillati; Bacillota; Clostridia; Lachnospirales; Lachnospiraceae. The record is from RNAcentral.